GUGAAAACAAAUGCAAUAAAAAGGAACAAGAAAAAAUAGGCGAAAGUUUUGUAAAUCAACGCUAAUCACUGUGACUAUUUGGAGCUCCGAACCACACCUUCCAGCACAAAUGAGUGUCGCGAUAAAGAUCGAAGGUAACGUGGUAUGCAUUCACUUUGCCACACAGCAUUCGCUGGCGGUAUUUAAUUUCAUUUAAAUUAUGUUGCUGACCCAGCAAUGAAUAACAAACAAACCUAUUGACAUUUACAUAAAUAAAUGAAAGAGCAACAACACUGUUGUAAAACACAAUAAAAACAAAACGACCCCACGUGGUGGCCCAAACAAACGAAUUGCCACCAGAGUGAGCCGGCGAGGUGAGCAUUGCUGAAGCCAACAACAAUUCUAAGUAUGAGCCGAGGCAGCAGAAGCAGCAGCACGUAAUGUCCCUCGUUGCUGGUGGCGCCUGGACAACAAACAACAACAAAAGACCGAUGAAAUAUCGAACAAAAAAUAAUCAAAAAUUAUUUGAAAUAGAAAUAAAUUUAAAUCUAACAGUUGUUUACAUUAAA
Molecule: long non-coding RNA, 548 nt
Organism: Ceratitis capitata (Mediterranean fruit fly)
Lineage: Eukaryota; Metazoa; Arthropoda; Insecta; Diptera; Tephritidae
Exons: 3
Source: RefSeq, a predicted model, not a curated record